AAUCAAAAUUGUCAAAUUGUCAAAAUUUGUAAUAUUGAUGUCCCAUUGACAACCAAACAUGCUCGACGAAACGUUUUCAAGCGUGAUAUUUACUACUGGUGUCAACAAUAAUCGAUUCGGCGAUGCAUCCCGAUGCGGGCCAUGGACGAUGCGAUUCGAUGCGGGCAACAAGCCGAAUCGAUUCAGCACAUAUUAAAAUAUAUAAGUCCGUUCAAAAAUCUUCCAGUGAUGCAGUGAUGCAAUGGAUUUGGUUUCCCCAUUUGUAUUAUUAUUCUCAUGUUUACCUGUAGAGGGAGCUAUUGUACAAGAAAUGCAGGGGGGACGAGCAACCCAAUUUUGCUUCCUCACGGGAGUAACGUCACAGACAUGCGCAAUUGCGCAGUGCCAAUCGAGAAAGCAGAGAGAAGCAAGAGAGAAGAGGGAGUGCGAAAGAUUAUUGACGCACCAAAGACAUUGAAAGCAGGCAUAUGGAGACAUUUUGGCUUCUAUGAGGACCUGAAAACAUUCAACGCAACGAAACACAGCAUCGUCAGCUGGGCCAUAACCAUGAGGGGAUAGGUGAGGUCUGGAAUCAAACCUUUGAUCCUCCAACCAUUGGUGACUUCUUCUACCACCCGCGCCACCGGUGGUCCGUGUCCAGGUGCGAUGGCUCCGCAUGUCACACCCAGCUCCAGCUCAGCUCGCGUUCAGAGUGAAGGUCUUCCCAUCCUGUCAACAUUACACAUCUGGUGUUAAGGAGAUCGAUAAAUAGAACUAAGGAUAAAAUGAAGAAUAGCCUAUUUGUCAUACUUACUUAUUAUAACUGGGCAUAUUUGUAACCUUACCACCUGAAACAUCCCAACAGCAUCCGUCUCAAAACUCCAACAUGUUAUGUGGCAGAUCAUUAUCCUUAAUUCUUAAAAUCUUUUGGGAAAUAAUGUGGUCAGGGAAAGUUUUAGAUCGUUAUAAUUGCCUCUGCGUGCUCCUAAAAUGUGGAGUGUUAUUAAAGCAAUGUGUCAAACUCCAUAUGUCUACAUGAAAUUAUGAAUAGUAUUAUGUUUAUAAUAAUUUACU
Molecule: long non-coding RNA, 1053 nt
Organism: Corythoichthys intestinalis (scribbled pipefish)
Lineage: Eukaryota; Metazoa; Chordata; Actinopteri; Syngnathiformes; Syngnathidae
Exons: 3
Source: RefSeq, a predicted model, not a curated record